This 95-nucleotide non-coding RNA is filed under the name Stenotrophomonas maltophilia. The record is from RNAcentral. Lineage: Bacteria; Pseudomonadati; Pseudomonadota; Gammaproteobacteria; Lysobacterales; Lysobacteraceae.
CCUUCUGGCGGGCGGUGCGUGGGGGCCGUGUGCCCGCCGGAUUGUUCCCGUUGCUUGUUCCCCGGUAUUGCAACCACGCAUCGUCCGCCACCUUC